GUGGGGAAUAUUGGACAAUGGGCGCAAGCCUGAUCCAGCCAUGCCGCGUGAGUGAUGACGGCCUUAGGGUUGUAAAGCUCUUUCGCACGCGACGAUAAUGACGGUAGCGUGAGAAGAAGCCCCGGCUAACUUCGUGCCAGCAGCCGCGGUAAUACGAAGGGGGCUAGCGUUGUUCGGAAUCACUGGGCGUAAAGGGUGCGUAGGCGGGCAUUUAAGUCAGGGGUGAAAUCCCGAGGCUCAACCUCGGAACUGCCCUUGAUACUGGAUGUCUUGAGUCCGGAAGAGGUGAGUGGAACUGCGAGUGUAGAGGUGAAAUUCGUAGAUAUUCGCAAGAACACCGGUGGCGAAGGCGGCUCACUGGUCCGGAACUGACGCUGAGGCACGACAGCGUGGGGAGCAAACAGG
Molecule: ribosomal RNA, 405 nt
Filed under: uncultured bacterium
Lineage: Bacteria
Description: bacterial SSU rRNA
Rfam family: Bacterial small subunit ribosomal RNA
Source: RNAcentral